ACGAAAAGGCAGUAUAUUCCCUCACCCGAAGGAAUAAAUGAUGCCGUAUCCUUGGUGUCAUCUCCUCACCGCCGAUCAUAUUGAUCUCCUUACCUUUUUCCAAUAUCCGAGAGCGAGAUAGAGAGAGGGAGCGCUGAAGGCAGAGCUUCGAAAUUGAUAAAGUUGGGGCUUUUUUUCACCUUCGAGUCCAAUGGCGAAGCCGGAGUUCUUGAAGCGGGAGGAGGAAUUCUUCCCUUUCUCCAUCUUUGAUUCUCAAAAAGGUGAGGCAGUGAAAUCGCGCGGGCAGUUGAUUGAAAGAAAGAUUGAUGUUAUUGAAAGCUUGGCGGGCAAGGUUAGUAAUCGACGGUCACGCAGAUGGUUGAAUGAUCGUUUACUUAUUGAACUCGUUCCCCGUUUGAAUGUUGAAGAAAUAAGAGGCCUCUUUGCUCCACCUCCAUGGGGUGACAGCAUACCAUUAUCAGCAUUUAGCAUGACAAAUGUUGGAGAAUGGGAUGCAUUUAGGAAUGUUGAUAUGGAUGUGGAGGCAAACAUGAUACAAGCCCUGGAAAAAUCUUCUACAAAAAGAAAAGGCCAUGUUGAUAAUGAUAAGAUGAUUGCAUUGAAUGCAUGGCAUCGGGUAGAUUGCCGAACAAGAGAAGCACUGCGGCGUAAUUUCCAAUCCGAUCUGGUUGAGAGUUAUGAAGAACGCAUGCGAGCAUUCAUCAGGGAUGGUGGGGAUGGAGAUGUGCUUGUGCUACAUGUUCAAGAUCCAUUUCACAGACUGUUGCUGCAUGGUGUAUGUGAGUUUGGCCUUCACUAGUGGAAGUAGAUAAUGCUGGCACUAUACGAUGCCACUCUUUCUGCUUGCAAACAAAUUAACAUGGACCGUAAAGCUAGCAUUUACCUAAGGUCCAUGCCUUUACUAAUUUUUAGAAAUAAAGUUCUACAACUUGAUCUCUGUAACUGUUACAACUGCGACGGGUGCGAAGCAAUGGAAGAUGACCAAGAUUAGGAAGAAAUUGGGUUCUCAAGAGAUACCCCCAAAUAUGACACUUGUCCAAUUUCUUAAAAUGGCCAAGGAUGGGCUUUUAUAGUGUGCCCUAGGGGAAGAAAACCUCUGUAUAUUAAUUGAUUAUAAAUGCAAUCAAUUGCAAAUGUAAAUUAUUUAUCACAGAAAGCUGUUGGCUCAGCAGUCAGACAUUCUACUUCAGAUACAAUGCUAGAUUUAAGUAGCUGCAACUUAGUAAAAUAAUCCACAUUCAUGUUAAUGGAAUAUUGCACUGCGAUGAUAGCUUCCAACUUA
This is an RNA transcript of Elaeis guineensis (African oil palm), 1282 nucleotides long. RefSeq lists it as uncharacterized. The record is from RefSeq and is a predicted model, not a curated record. Lineage: Eukaryota; Viridiplantae; Streptophyta; Magnoliopsida; Arecales; Arecaceae.